UGACACCUGGCCUUAGAUCCAAGUGGCAGUAUCAAGCACCUCCCCUACUCCCAAAUUAUAAACUCCUUACCCAUCYCAAUGGUGAUGUGGCCUUUAAAACGGCUAAUUCCAUAAUGACCAUCCGUGGCCCGUGCCCUCCACUUUUUCUCCAAUACCCUCUACUCCUCUUCCUAUACGAAGACUGGCAGGUAACAAAAACCUGAUUAAAACCAAUGUCUUAUCACUCUCCACAGCCAAGGACACGGCUUGACCACGGUUCUCUGCAGCAUUAAUGGCAACCUUUCGGUUAGCCCGUAAUCAGGGGCCGUCACGCCCGGAAAUGAAAUCUCCAGCACAACCCACUUGGGACUACCGUAUCAUUUCCUUAAGUUGUGCCCGUCGCCAGCGCCGCGCGCACGACCCCGAGGAGACCGCCGCGGGCCCCGGGCACGGCUGCCUCGCCUCGGGCCUGCAGGUCACCCGCGCCGCUCGGCCACGCGGCGGGCCCGGUAGGAUCCCCGCGAGCGCGCCCUGCUCCAGGGCUGCCGCAACCGGCGCUCGGCACAACCCGAGGCGAAAGUCGGGCCAGUCGCCUCUGGGGACCGCGCUCGGGCGCAAGAGCGUGUCACCAGAAGGACCCCGGGCGGCCCCAGGCUGCAGCAGGGCACCGUCCCUCCAGCUUCAGACAUUAAAUGUGUGAGACCGUGACCACAGGGAUAUCCAGU
RNAcentral lists this long non-coding RNA (704 nucleotides) under Urocitellus parryii (Arctic ground squirrel). Its description in RNAcentral is "lncRNA (ENSUPAG00010003489.1)". The record is from RNAcentral. Lineage: Eukaryota; Metazoa; Chordata; Mammalia; Rodentia; Sciuridae.